Molecule: long non-coding RNA, 1378 nt
Organism: Rosa chinensis
Lineage: Eukaryota; Viridiplantae; Streptophyta; Magnoliopsida; Rosales; Rosaceae
Exons: 5
Source: RefSeq, a predicted model, not a curated record
AGAGCAGAAAUUCCUAACCGGCGGCUAUAGAAUAGAAGCGGCGGCUUUUUUAAGGGAAAAGCCCAAGUCAGGGGGAGAGACCUGCUUUUAGAAGCAAGCAGAAGCUGCAGCGCUAUCUACUGUAGAUUAAUGAUACUUCUCUAAUACCAGCAAUUGCCCUCCAGGAAGAUAUCAUAUUACACCGGAGUCUCUUCACGCAGACACAAAACAAUUCCCUGUUGCUCACUCCGAUUAUGAAGAGAGAACUGAAGUGACAUCAAAUCACUCACUCCGAUUCCGAUCAUAUCAGAGCCCUAACCACUCCGAUCAGAUCAGCUUCUCUAUUUCUCCGAUCGAUUUCGCUAUGGCGAAGGAGAAACCGUUCAAGAGUAUAUUGAAAUCGCUUGAGAAGCCGGACGGCGGCGAGUUCGGAGUACUACAGCUUGCCAGCUCUCAAUGAUCCUAGGAUAAGCUACCGUACUCCAUUAAGAUCCUUCUUGAGUCUGCAAUCUUUAACUGCCAAGAGUUUCAGGUUAAGAGUACGUAUUUGAGAAAAGUUGUAAUUUGUUAUCAGCAUUUAGGACCCUCUUUGUCUUUGUGUUUGUCUUUGUGCCUGUGUUUGUGUUUAUCUGGCCUGCAGUCUUGAAUAUAUGACAUUGUGUUUGUGUUUGUGUUUGCUUCACUGGAAGGCAGCUUUAUUCCAAGUUUUUGGCCGUUAGGGUGCUUUUUCUGCAGUUCUCUAUUUGCAUCAAGUGCAGUUUUCUGAUUUUACGUUGUUUGCUUCUCUCUGCUGGGACUUUCUGGUUCUGAGGCCCUCCGUCCAUACGCUGUUUGGUAAUAGUUUCGUAUGGUAAUUGGUUUUGAAAGUUCUUGAUCAGGUCUUACAAGUCCCGGUUUAAGUUAUUGAAUGAUGGCACUAUUCGAUGCUGGAGGGAGGGCAAGCGGCACAAUGCAUAUCUGAAGAGAUGGCCCAGGAGCUCGAAAGCGAAAUUCGAGUGUGUGUUUAGUGAAGUUGGUGUUGUUAAAGAAGAUGGGUUUUCGAUGCCUGUGAACCCCAGCAGCCAAGAAACCUUGGGUCAUUGUUUCAUAGAGUUUAAUUCUCCUCAGUCCUCAAGGUAUCCAGGGUCUCCUUCCUUGCUUAGUCCCGUAAUAAAGGAAGACGAAGAACCCGUUCAUAGUGAUGAAACUAGUGCAGAUGACCAUGACGACAUAAUGCAGUGGAGUGAGCAAGAAAUGGAUGAUGAUGUAGAAGAAGAAUAUCAUGGUCAUGGUGCACAAGAAAUGGAAACAAUAAGAAAUAACAUUACUCAAAAUUUGAUGAAUGCGCAUAAUAACGUGAACAUUUGAAUAUGUUAUGAUAUUUUUUGUGGUUACUUGAUGCGAACCAGAAACCAAUUGU